GUGAAUGGAGUUCAGACGUUUGGUUAAGUAAUACUUACGGCACCAGGGAUGCCCUUUUGCUGGAUGUCGCUGCGUACAACAGGACUUGUCGAAAAACGACGGACCAAAGUCGUGAGGGCAGUUCUGGAAAGCAUGUUGA
This is a long non-coding RNA of Octopus sinensis (East Asian common octopus), 139 nucleotides long. RefSeq lists it as uncharacterized. The record is from RefSeq and is a predicted model, not a curated record. The transcript is spliced from 3 exons. Lineage: Eukaryota; Metazoa; Mollusca; Cephalopoda; Octopoda; Octopodidae.